This 484-nucleotide ribosomal RNA is filed under the name uncultured bacterium. RNAcentral's name for it is "partial 16S ribosomal RNA". It matches the Rfam family "Bacterial small subunit ribosomal RNA", at positions 28 to 507 of the family's 1533-position model. The record is from RNAcentral.
GUUGAACGCUGGCGGCAUGCCUAACACAUGCAAGUCGAGCGGAUAGAUGGAGCUUUCUCCUGUAUUCAGCUGCGGACGGAUGAGUAAUUCCUACGAGUCUACCUUAUAUUUGAGAACGAGGUCCCUUAGCGAGCGCUGAUACCACAUACGUCCUUAUGUUGAACCGGAGGGUUCUUCGGACCUCGCGCGAUCUGAUGAGCCUUGGUCGGAUUAGCUAGUUGGUUUGGUAAAGGCGUACCAAGGCGACGAUCCGUAACGGAGCUGAGAGGAUGAUCAGCCACACUGGAACUGAGACACGGUCCAGACUCCUACGGGAGGCAGCAGUGGGGAAUAUUGGACAAUGGGCGAAAGCCUGAUGCAGCAACGCCGCGUGAGUGAUGAAGGUCUUCGGAUUGUAAAGCACUUUAAGUUGGGAGGAAGGAAAGUAAGUGAAUCCAUGGAUGUUUUGACGUUACCAAAACAAUAAGCACCGGCUAACUUCGUG